GGGAGGUGGGGCUGGGAGCUAGGACUCCUGGGUUCUCUCCCCAGCAUGUGGAGUUGGCUGCAGGCUCAGCACAGGGAAAAUCAAUUUGAGUUUGGUUGGGAGUUAAUAUAAAAAUAACAUUCCCCUGAGGCGUGCAGCGGUGCCUGGCAUGGGCACCGGGGGGGGCUGGUGCUGCUCUCUGGCCUCUCCCGCGUGAUGGGUGCAGUGGGGCCAGGGGGUCCUGGCGCCUGCAGGCUGCACCCACUGCCCCAACCCCCAGAGGGAGGGCAUGCACCUUUGCGGGGGUGACCACGCUGUUCCCUUCUGUGUCAGCAGGGGGUGCCCAGGUGAGCGGCUUUGGCGCCUCCCCCUCCAGCCACCCUGGCAGCGGGAUCCCGGACAUGGGCGGAGCACCCAGCAGCCUCUUCGGGAGCCUGAGCCAGCCGGCGGCCCUGCCCCCGCCCAGCCCUGCGCCCGCCUACGGGGGUAGGUGGCUUUUGCUUUGGCCCAGGGGGGUGCUAAUGCCCGUUGGCAGCCAGUAGCAAUGAGCCACCUCUCCCAUGCCACCCUCUCUUCCAGCCUACGCCAACCCCUUCGCCCCGCCUGCCGCCCCGCCUGCCCGGCCCAGCACUAACCCCUUCCAGCCCAACGGCACUGCACCAGAUUCCAGUUUUGAUGGGUUUGCUGCAGCCCCAGUGGGGCAGCCGGUCGGGAUCUCCACCAAUCCCUUCAUGACGGCAGCUCCAUCCUCGCCCUUCGUCAUCAAGCAUCCAGCCACCAACCCCUUCUUAUAGCGAGGUGCCCGGACGGCUGCUCUGGGCAGGAAGUGCCCAUCCCAUCCAGCAGGGGGCAGGCCGCUGCAGCCACACACACCCCCGCACCGGCUUCCGGCUGCGCAGCCCCAACGCUGUGGGGAUGGGCUGGACCAAGUGCUUUAACUACUGCGAUGGCUUCUAAGGGAACCGGCCCGGAGAAGAGCUGGCCCUUGAAGAGAGGUUCUGGGCCCAGCACCGAGGCAUUCUGGGACUUGUAGUCUCGGUGGGGAUUUUUCAGCAGGGCAUGCUGGGAAAGUGGAGGGGGUGGGAAUGUGGGUCAAGUGGGUUAGCUGGCCCUUAAAAGGGGUUUGGGAUUCUUCUGGGCCUUGUGGUCCAGAAGGGAGCCCCAGGGGAGCUGGAGGUGGGGCAGCAAUGCAUGCUGGGAAAGGGAGCCCUCUCUGCUUCUCCUCCCAAGCAAGAGGGGCUGGGAUGAGUGUGGGCUCUGUCAAGGGGGGCUGGAAUCUCUGGGGGGCUCCGCCA
RNAcentral lists this long non-coding RNA (1274 nucleotides) under Chelonoidis abingdonii (Abingdon island giant tortoise). RNAcentral's name for it is "lncRNA (ENSCABG00000022613.1)". The record is from RNAcentral. Lineage: Eukaryota; Metazoa; Chordata; Testudines; Testudinidae.